UUAGGAAGAGGUAAGUUUGAUGUUAUUCCAUGAAAUUCAUGCAUAUUUUUAGUUGUUAGUUUGAAUUCUACCUAGCCCAUGGUUUAAAUCUUUGCUAUUUGAUGGAGAUGAUACUCGGCCAUGGAUGUUGUCUUUCUUGGUUGGUGUUUGAUGUUGUGUUGAUGAGGUAUGAAGAUGAUAGAGUUUGAGUGCUUAACGAAAAGGAUUGGAUGUGAGUGUGUGUGAGAAUUUGAAAAGGAUGGGUCUUAGCAACUUCAUGAAGUGUUCGGC
RNAcentral lists this long non-coding RNA (270 nucleotides) under Gossypium barbadense (sea-island cotton). Its description in RNAcentral is "long non-coding RNA (GBAR_LNC009119)". Lineage: Eukaryota; Viridiplantae; Streptophyta; Magnoliopsida; Malvales; Malvaceae. The record is from RNAcentral.